This 1030-nucleotide long non-coding RNA is filed under the name Anas platyrhynchos platyrhynchos (common mallard). RNAcentral describes it as "lncRNA (ENSAPLG00000018434.1)". The record is from RNAcentral. Lineage: Eukaryota; Metazoa; Chordata; Aves; Anseriformes; Anatidae.
CCUCUUCUCCACUGGCCCCAUGGGCUUUCUGAGCUGUUCGGGCACCGAGCGAUGGCCUCAUCUCCCUGGGAAUCAUCUGCUGGCUUUGUGCGUGGAGAAGCAAGAUUUGGGGAUGGGCUUCCACAGCUGGGCUGGUACACAGCUCAGAAAAACUCACGGUGGCUCUGCCAGGCCCCCAGCUGAAGCAUCGGGAUGCAUUUAUGCGCAGUGUCUCCUCCAGUCAGCGUGCCUUCAGCAUCGCCACGACUCGAUACAGGAGCUGGUAGCUGUCAGGGAGAGCAGCCCUGCGAGCUGUACACCUUCAGCAUCCUCCAGAGCAUGUUUGAGGAGCUGACACUAGAUAAAUAAUAGGGGAUUAAGAUGCGGGGGGACUGCUGUCCUCAGGUACUGGAGCGUGGUGCUCAGCAAUCGCCUGGUGUCUCUCCUGGAGGUUCUGUAAUGUCUGCAGUCUCAUCAUCCCAAAGCCAGGGUAUAUUGAUGCUCAGGAUGAGAAAAUCUUUUAUUUUUUUUUCUCCAGGUGGUGCACGGGAGCCCCACGUUGUUCCCCAGUGUCCCAGACCAUUGGGGAAAGGAGGGGAGAGCAGCGUUGGGACCAGAGGGGUCAUCACCGAGGAUGUGGCGCUUCCAGUCCCAGGGUGCGGUGUGCUGCUCGCUGCUGGGAGCUCCACACGCGUACGAGCGUAAGUAAACCAAGCCAGAAACACAAAUCCUCGCUGGGAAUUGAAGAACGUCUUAAGUAAACAGAGGGAACAAAUGGGUUGUGUGACAGAUAUACAGGGCUUCUGUCUGCAGCGCAAUCAGCCGGCCCUGCCGCUGCCGUGCCGGGGGCCCGGCUUUUGUGCCCGCCUGAAUAGGGGCUAAAUAUCCCUUGAAAUCAGAACUCUUUGGCUUCGCGAGUGGAGGGGCCGCAGUCUUGCUCUUUUCAGAUGCAAAUGCAAGUGGUUUUCUUCUUUAUCUCGCCCGUAAGAUGGUGGUGUCAAGCUGGGCCGAGAUGAAUAAAACGGAGAAUUUAUGCUUUAUUGAGAUCUAU